UAGGGAAUAUUAGAAAUGGACGAAAGUCUGAUCUAGCAACACCGCGUGUGCGAGGAAGGCCUUUGGGUCGUAAAGCACUUUUUGGAAGGAAUAGGAAGGAAUGUACUUCCAGAAUAAGUCUCGGCUAACUACGUGCCAGCAGCCGCGGUAACACGUAGGAGGCAAACGUUAUCCGGAUUUACUGGGCGUAAAGCGCGUGUAGGUGGUACUGUAAGUAGGGCGUGAAAGCUCCUGGCUCAACUGGGAGAGGCCGUUCUAAACUACAGAACUAGAGGAUGGUAGAGGGAGGUGGAAUUCCAGGUGUAGCGGUGGAAUGCGCAGAUAUCUGGAGGAACACCGGUGGCGAAGGCGGCCUCCUGGACCAUUCCUGACACUCAGACGCGAAAGCUAGAGUAGCAAACGG
This 403-nucleotide ribosomal RNA is filed under the name uncultured bacterium. Its description in RNAcentral is "bacterial SSU rRNA". It matches the Rfam family "Bacterial small subunit ribosomal RNA", at positions 355 to 775 of the family's 1533-position model. The record is from RNAcentral.